GAAAGAUUCAUCGGAAGAGGAUAGGCAUGCGGCGCAUUAGCUAGACGGCGGGGUAACGGCCCACCGUGGCGACGAUGCGUAGGGGUUCUGAGAGGAAGGUCCCCCACACUGGUACUGAGACACGGACCAGACUCCUACGGGAGGCAGCAGUGAGGAAUAUUGGUCAAUGGGAGAGAUCCUGAACCAGCCAAGCCGCGUGAGGGAAGACGGCCCUAUGGGUUGUAAACCUCUUUUGUCGGAGAACAAAACCCGGGACGUGUCCCGGACUGCGUGUAUCCGAAGAAAAAGCAUCGGCUAACUCCGUGCCAGCAGCCGCGGUAAUACGGAGGAUGCGAGCGUUAUCCGGAUUUAUUGGGUUUAAGGGGUGCGUAGGCGGUCCGUUAAGUCAGCGGUAAAAUUGCGGGGCUCAACCCCGUCGAGCCGUUGAAACUGGCAGACUUGAGUUGGCGAGAAGUACGCGGAAUGCGCGGUGUAGCGGUGAAAUGCAUAGAUAUCGCGCAGAACUCCGAUUGCGAAGGCAGCGUACCGGCGCCAGACUGACGCUGAGGCACGAAAGCGUGGGGAUCGAACAGGAUUAGAUACCCUGGUAGUCCACGCAGUAAACGAUGAAUGCUGGUUGUCCGGGUCGAAUGAGAUCUGG
Molecule: ribosomal RNA, 640 nt
Filed under: uncultured bacterium
Lineage: Bacteria
Description: bacterial SSU rRNA
Rfam family: Bacterial small subunit ribosomal RNA
Source: RNAcentral